Cerioporus squamosus is the source of this 101-nucleotide non-coding RNA. The record is from the annotation of a GenBank genome assembly. NCBI's taxonomy places the organism in Eukaryota, Fungi, Basidiomycota, Agaricomycetes, Polyporales, Polyporaceae.
GGGCACAUGGUGUAGUUGGUUAUCACAUCCGCUUAGCAUCGAUAUCAAAUGUGAUGUCUUGUGGUUGCGGGGGGUGCUGGGUUCAAUUCCCAGUGUGUCCA